This 482-nucleotide ribosomal RNA is filed under the name uncultured Clostridia bacterium. Its description in RNAcentral is "bacterial SSU rRNA". It matches the Rfam family "Bacterial small subunit ribosomal RNA", at positions 9 to 506 of the family's 1533-position model. Lineage: Bacteria; Bacillati; Bacillota; Clostridia. The record is from RNAcentral.
GAGUUUGAUCGUGGCUCAGGAUGAACGCUGGCGGCGUGCCUAACACAUGCAAGUCGAACGGUAUUUUAGGGGCUUGCCCCUAAAAUAUAGUGGCGGACGGGUGAGUAACACGUGGAUAACCUGCCUUAUACAAAGGAAUAACAUCCAGAAAUGGAUGCUAAAACCUUAUAAGCUCACAGUAUCGCAUGAUAAAGUGAGAAAAUAUUAAUAGGUAUAAGAGGGGUCCGCGUCUGAUUAGCUAGUUGGCGGGGUAAAGGCCCACCAAGGCAACGAUCAGUAGCCGGCCUGAGAGGGUGAACGGCCACAUUGGGACUGAGACACGGCCCAAACUCCUACGGGAGGCAGCAGUGGGGAAUAUUGCGCAAUGGGGGGAACCCUGACGCAGCAACGCCGCGUGAAGGAAGAAGGCCUUCGGUUGUAACUUCUAUCGACGGGAAGAAAAAAUAGACAGUACCCGAGUAAGAAGCACCGGCUAAAUACGU